This 486-nucleotide ribosomal RNA is filed under the name uncultured bacterium. Its description in RNAcentral is "partial 16S ribosomal RNA". It matches the Rfam family "Bacterial small subunit ribosomal RNA", at positions 28 to 507 of the family's 1533-position model. The record is from RNAcentral.
GAUGAACGCUAGCGGCAGGCUUAACACAUGCAAGUCGAGGGGCAGCGCGGGAUAGCAAUAUCCUGGCGGCGACCGGCGGAAGGGUGCGUAACGCGUGAGCGACAUGCCCGUUGCCCGGGGACAACCGGUGGAAACGCCGACUAAUCCCCGAUGGGAUAUUGUGCCGCAUGGCACGAUAUUGAAAGUUACGGCGGCGACGGAUUGGCUCGCGUCCGAUUAGCUGGUUGGCGGGGUAACGGCCCACCAAGGCUGCGAUCGGUAGGGGUUCUGAGAGGAAGGCCCCCCACAAUGGGACUGAGACACGGCCCAUACUACUACGGGAGGCAGCAGUGAGGAAUAUUGGUCAAUGGGCGGAAGCCUGAACCAGCCAUGCCGCGUGCGGGAAGGAGGCCCUAUGGGCUGUGAACCGCUUUUGCCUGGGGGCAAUAAGGGCGUCGCGCACGUCCGAUGAGAGUACCAGGCGAAUAAGCAUCGGCUAACUCCGUG